This 465-nucleotide ribosomal RNA is filed under the name uncultured bacterium. RNAcentral's name for it is "partial 16S ribosomal RNA". It matches the Rfam family "Bacterial small subunit ribosomal RNA", at positions 338 to 795 of the family's 1533-position model. The record is from RNAcentral.
CCUACGGGAGGCAGCAGUAGGGAAUCUUCCACAAUGGGCGAAAGCCUGAUGGAGCAACGCCGCGUGGGUGAAGAAGGUCUUCGGAUCGUAAAACCCUGUUGUUAGAGAAGAAAGUGCGUGCGAGUAACUGUUCAAGUUUCGACGGUAUCUAACAAGAAAGCCACGGCUAACUACGUGCCAGCAGGCGCGGUAAUACGUAGGUGGCAAGCGUUAUCCGGAUUUAUUGGGCGUAAAGGGAACGCAGGCGGUCUUUUAAGGCUGAUGUGAAAGCCUUCGGCUUAACCGGAGUAGUGCAUUGGAAACUGGGAGUCUUGAGUGCAGAAGAGGUGAGUGGAACUCGAUGUGUAGCGGUGAAAUGCGUAGAUAUAUGGAAGAACACCAGUGGCGAAAGCGGCUCUCUGGUCUGUAACUGACGCUGAGGUUCGAAAGCGUGGGUAGCAAACAGGAUUAGAUACCCCUGUAGUC